Molecule: long non-coding RNA, 511 nt
Filed under: Rattus norvegicus (Norway rat)
Lineage: Eukaryota; Metazoa; Chordata; Mammalia; Rodentia; Muridae
Description: long non-coding RNA NONRATT004095
Source: RNAcentral
GGCUACGACUCUGAUGGGCAGGUAGGUCUCAGUGGCAAGGUCGGGGAUAACCAGUGUAUGGGUGGGGUGAAAAAAGACACUGAGCCAGGCAACUGAACUCUCCUGGUAUAUGGUGCUUGGAAGGGCUCUUUGGUCUGGUAAAACAUUUAGCCUGAGGUGUCACAGAUACUCAAGACAGAGGCAUGGAUUGAAAGUCCUGGGUAGUGCUGGUUACUGUACAAUGGCUGUCCGCCAGCCCUGCCAAGUGUGUUUUAUUGUGUGCCACAGUGAAUGGGUGGAUGUGAGGAGCCUUGUGUGUGUUCUGUCCUCCAGCUUUACUGGUAUCUGGUGAUCAAAUUAAGGUUAUCCUUGAUGCACAGUAGCACACAUAUGUUAAGCUAUUUUGAUCACUCUGGAUGUUUGUGUUGUAUAUAGUAGGAUCUGUGAUCUUUUGGGGGGUUUUGAGACAGGGAUUCUCUGUUUAGCCCUGGCUGGCUUUGAACUCAGAGAUCUGCCCGCCUCUGCCUCACAA